RNA transcript from Eleginops maclovinus (Patagonian blennie), 5207 nucleotides. It is a transcript of the gene named natural resistance-associated macrophage protein 2-like, with no coding region annotated. The transcript has 18 exons. NCBI's taxonomy places the organism in Eukaryota, Metazoa, Chordata, Actinopteri, Perciformes, Eleginopidae. The record is from RefSeq and is a predicted model, not a curated record.
CGGGGUCAUGUCACUUCAAGACAACUUGUGAAACGUGCAGGUGUGUGUGUGUUCUCAGGUGUGUGUUUGCGUGUUUUCAGGUAGUUUCCUCCCCCGCCUCCCUCCUUCCUUACCUGUACGGUGAGUCUGCUCCUCACACGGGACGGACGAUGUCUAACCUACCGGUCUGCUCCACAUGAACACCUGGAAACCACCGAGGGGAACAGCAUGAAUCACAUUACACCGGAGAGUAGUUUCGUCUGAAGUUCUAGAAGAUUUUUACAGAUUAAAAGCACGGAAAUGACUCAAAGGAGGAAGGUGUUUUCCUCUCUGCGGUCAGGGAGAGACCGUCCUCCGGAGGAUAUCCACAUCUUCUGUCUUCCUCCCAUUGUUCCCACAGACCAGGAGCCAGCUCAGAACGGAGGACAAGCCGGGGAUAUGGAGGGAGAGAAAUCAGUGAUCCAGACGACGCACACACACAGAGGGUCCACCCCCUCGGUCUUCCCCCAGAAACCGAAUAGUGAACCGGUUUCUAGUACCUACUUUGAACAAAAGGUCCCUGUUCCCGAGGAGGACAGCGAGAAGUGUUUCAGUUUCAGGAAGCUCUGGGCCUUCACGGGGCCGGGUUUCCUGAUGAGUAUCGCGUACCUGGACCCCGGGAACAUCGAGUCUGACCUGCAGUCUGGAGCUAAAGCUGGCUUUAAGCUCCUCUGGGUGCUGCUGGCGGCCACCAUCAUCGGCCUGCUGCUGCAGCGGCUUGGCGCUCGACUCGGCGUCGUCACCGGGAUGCACCUGGCCGAAGUCUGCAACCAGCAGUACCGCACGGUCCCUCGUAUCAUCCUGUGGUUGAUGGUGGAGAUCGCCAUCAUCGGCUCCGACAUGCAGGAGGUGAUCGGCUGCGCCAUCGCCUUCAAUCUCCUCUCCUCCGGCAGGAUCCCGUUGUGGGGAGGCGUUCUCAUCACCAUUACCGACACGUUCGUCUUCCUCUUCUUGGACAAAUACGGCCUCAGGAAGUUGGAGGCCUUCUUCGGUUUGCUCAUCACCGUCAUGGCCAUCACCUUCGGAUAUGAGUAUGUGAUGGUGAGUCCGGAUCAAGGCCAGCUGCUGAAGGGGAUGUUCGUGCCGUCCUGCAAGGGCUGCGGCCCGGUUCAGAUGACUCAGGCCGUCGGCAUCGUGGGAGCCGUCAUCAUGCCUCACAACAUCUACCUCCACUCUGCUCUGGUCAAGUCUCGAGAAGUGGAUCGGUCGAACAAGAAAGAACUAAAGGAGGCCAACAAAUACUUCUUCAUUGAGUCGACCGUCGCGCUCUUCAUCUCCUUCCUCAUCAACGUGUUUGUGGUGGCCGUGUUCGCCGAGGCCUUCUAUGAGCGCACAAACGAGGAGGUGUACAACAUCUGCAAUCACACAGGAAGUCCUCCCUCGCAUGUCUUCCCUCUGAACAAUGAGACUCUGCAGGUGAACCUCUAUAAAGGGGGAGUGUUGCUCGGCUGUUUCUUUGGCCCGGCAGCGCUCUACAUCUGGGCCGUGGGGAUCCUUGCAGCUGGUCAGAGCUCCACCAUGACGGGAACGUACUCCGGCCAGUUUGUCAUGGAGGGUUUCUUGAACCUGCGCUGGUCGCGUUUCGCACGGGUGUUUUUGACCCGGUCCAUCGCCAUCACCCCCACCCUGCUGGUGGCCAUCUUCCAGGACGUGCAGGACCUGACGGGCAUGAACGACUUCCUGAACGUGCUGCAGAGCAUGCAGCUGCCAUUCGCCCUCAUCCCCAUCCUCACCUUCACCAGUCUGCCAUCUCUCAUGAAUGAGUUUGCCAAUGGAUUAGUGUAUAAGAUCGGAGGAGGCCUGGUGAUCUUGGUGGUGUGUGCCAUCAACAUGUACUUCGUGGUGGUCUACGUGACGGAGCUGAACAGUGUGUGGCUGUAUGUGCUGGCUGCCUUCCUCUCCAUAGCAUACCUGACAUUUGUGGGAUAUUUGGUGUGGCUGUGUUUGAUCGCUCUCGGAGUCUCCUGGCUGGAUCCGAGCACCAGAACAGGGACUGACACGAGGAUCCUGAUGGAGCAGCAGCCAGAGUUUGACUCCUGAAUCACAUGAGGAUGUUUAUAUAAAAGGUGCAGCUGUGAGCAACCAGACUGAUAUGUCACUGUUUUGUCUUACAAAACAUUUAGUCUUCUUAAAUGCCUGUUUAUUUAUAAUUGAACUAGAAAGGUAUUUUUAAUUGGAAUAGAUAUUUCAAUUUAGUAUUCGUAAAUGUUUAGUCAAACUCCAAUUAGUUUUGCAAAAUCGACAGCUUUAAAUGUGUUAAAGCAGAGUUAUUGUUACGGCGGUUAAGAGCACAGAUAGUUAAAACUACGUAUGGCCCGGGGUAAAGCAAGUACCUCCAUACCUCACUUUCUCAUAUUAUAUCACCUCACCACUCUGCAGGUUUAGUGGCGUCAUUUUGUCGUUCUCUAAACAUCGAAAUGAAAGAACCAAAUGAAGAUGCAAUAAAUAAAUGUAUGUAAAUGAUCCAAAUUGAAAAAAAGAGAAAGCAUAAAGUAAUGCAUGAAAUAAAUCUUGACACUUUUUUAAACAAUAUGUCUCCUUAAACAAAACAUAGCAAAUACAAACAGCAUCAGACAUUAAUUUACUGGUUUAUUUGAUAAGGACCAAGCACAUUAUUAGAAAAGUGUAAAAACUUAAAGAUGAAAACAUGCUAAAGUCAGCAGAAAUGCUUGUUCACAUCUACAGUCCUUAGGUACGUAACAAAAACAGAAGCAUAUGAAGUGAAAAUAUACAUAAACACAUACACAACACAUGAGUAGAAAAUACAGCAUGCAUUGUGUAAGAUGUCAGGUUAAAAGGAAUCACAGUUGUGGUUUUCCUUAAGCUAUUGUUUAGGCAUCUCAUUUUACAAUAUUUAAAAACGACAUUUGAGAGUUUGUGCAAGUUAAAUUAAGGAUGUUUUAAGUCCUUUCGAAAACCACAUCAGCGGCCAGCUUUUUCUUUAGUACUUCCCAGCAUUAUAUACAUUAAAUUCCUAAUGAUGUAAUUCAUUCAACUAAUCUGAACUGGACCCAGAAAACCAACCUACUGUUAUAAAACUCCAAUUUUUGUUUAUUUUUAAGUUUAGCAGGCACAUACUAAGAGGCCCUAAUAAAAUUGAAAGUGAAAUGCCCUCUGAGGCCUUUCUAGAGGAAGCAGAAACCCAUGUUGUUUAAAGUGUAAUUUCUCUUUUGGCCACCGGGCGGCAGUGCAGACCCUCCUCAGUUCCUUUACAUGCCUCCCCACCAGAGCUGAACAACAUAACACAUUUAAUGACACGGUGUGUUACAUCACACACUAUGUUGUUAUGGCUGCACAGAAACAGCGUGAUUCUUUCAAAAGAAAAUCAGAGAAAUGGAAUCAAAUGAGUGUCAGUGAGUUGCCUGUUACACUGCUGUGCAUUCAGAUGAGUGUGACAUGCCUGUGGUGGGGAUGGUAUGUCUGAAGAGUUGCAACUAUUGUGUAACUGCAAGCAAACACGGCUGGUUUCAGUGUUGCUUGAAUUCCUUUCCUAAAGUGCUUCGGCAUUUUGCAAGCAGAGGACAGGCGGAUGGACAGGUUUUUCUUUGCAUUGUGGCGGGGAACUUUUUUUUUUCCUGUCAUGGAGGCAGAGUUAUGUAAGAGAGUCUUCCCACCGCCCCUCUGUGUUUUUGUUUUUCUCAAUGAGCCAAAUGUCUCCCUGCCUAGGCCUCACAGCCUGUCCAGUAGGCCCCUUUCCUGGAAACAUAGCCUAGCAGAGGCCACUCAGGGGCAGGCCCGCGAGGUGGGAGUGUGGGGGAGGAGGGGAGGGAGGCCUCUUCCAGCAAAUCACAUGGUUUUAGCCCCUACAGUCCCAGCCCUACAUGAGGCUCAGAUGCUGCAAGCACAUUUCAACAGCUAGUUUGUCAUCAACGUGAUUGGAUGUAGCUAAUGCAUGGCAGAGUGCAUGAGGCUUUUUUUUUUCCUGUUUCCAUACAUCACAGAUUUGAUCGCUGCUGUAUGAAUUAAACGAGGUAUGCAACGUUUCAAGAAGUAGAGGGCACCAGAAGUCAGGCACAGAUAAUGCAUUUGAAAUUGAUUCAGUAAAAAGUGGCAUCAGCUGAAGACCGCAUGACAUUUUCCAGCUGUGGGGGCCAUACUUUAUUUUGUAUAUAUUUUUAUAUAGAUCUGUCAGUGCUGCCUUAAAAUGUCCGACACCAGGAAUGCAAACAGCGGGGCCAUUCCUGUUUAUGUCUUGCACUGUGGCCACUGUGGCCACUGGCAGAGCUUAAUGGGCCCACAUGUGUUUGGAAAGGGUACACUGACUAUUUCAACUCUACUUAUUCCUUUAUUUACAACUUUAUUUAAGUGUUUCUUUGUGUUUUCAUCACUAAAGGUCUUAUUGAUGGAUGUUUUACGAUCUGCUGUUGCUAAACUCCUCAUCAGUUGCUCAGGUGGAGGAAGUACUUAAAUCCUUUACUUAAGUAAAAGUAGAAAAUGGGCUCAACAUAUUCCAAGUAAAAGUCCAGAAUCCAAGAUGUUAAGUGGAGGAAAGAAGUAUGAUCAGCUAAAUGAACGUAUCAAAAGAGCAUUCAUAUAUUAUGUCAUGUUUUUUAUCACUGACACAUACAUGUAAACACAUUUUAAUAUUGUAGUUUAUUACUGUAAUGUGGAGCUGAUUUUCGAUGAUCAUAAUUGUAUUACAGGAUUGCAUACUAUAAUAUCAGCUCUGCUCCUAUUAUAAAAUGCAGUGCAAUUCAACAAAUACAUUUUAUGUGCAAAGGGUAACUCUAUGUACAAAUGUAACUACUAUUUUGAAUUCAAUACAUCAAGUGUAGUAAAAAGAACAAUAUUUACCUCUGAAAUGUAGUGCAAGAGUAAAGUAGCAUAAAUGGACAAAUAAAGUACAAUAAUGUCAAAAUAAUUCUAAAGUAUAGCGCUUGGGUAAAUGUGCUUGGUUACAUUCCACCGCUGCUCACAAUGCAUCAGAUUUAAUCUGAGGUUUUAAAGGAUAAGGAGGCAAUGUGUGCUGUAAAUAAAAAUAUCUGGGGACCAACUGGUCGACCACAUUGCCAACCAUGAUGUCAAACCCCCUUCCAUUUAUUUUAACACGGUAAAACAAAUGGGUUUUAGUUCCCACUGUUCAGGGAAUCACUACAAAAACAUAGUGAAAAGCGAUUGCAGCUGAUUACAACUUAUUUUCAUAAAAACAACAGUAAACUGCAAUAAAGUAUAGUUUUUUUAAUGAGUAA